This 79-nucleotide small RNA is filed under the name Flavobacterium swingsii. RNAcentral's name for it is "Flavo-1 RNA". It matches the Rfam family "Flavo-1 RNA". Lineage: Bacteria; Pseudomonadati; Bacteroidota; Flavobacteriia; Flavobacteriales; Flavobacteriaceae. The record is from RNAcentral.
UUCAGGCUCGGGUGUAAUGAAAAUCCUUUUGCUUUUUUCUUUAAAAAGCAAAAGAUUGUAAUGAAUAGCUGGAAAUAGC